This 82-nucleotide transfer RNA is filed under the name Phaeovulum vinaykumarii. Its description in RNAcentral is "Rhodobacter vinaykumarii tRNA". It matches the Rfam family "tRNA". From Rfam's summary of the family: Transfer RNA (tRNA) molecules are approximately 80 nucleotides in length. Their secondary structure includes four short double-helical elements and three loops (D, anti-codon, and T loops). The record is from Rfam by way of RNAcentral. Lineage: Bacteria; Pseudomonadati; Pseudomonadota; Alphaproteobacteria; Rhodobacterales; Paracoccaceae.
GGGGGCGUGGCGGAACUGGCAGACGCAGCGGCUUUAGGUGCCGUCUCCUUCGGGAUUGUGGGUUCGAGUCCCACCGCCCCCA